GACAUUUACAAGAACUGGCGGCGGCAGCAGCAGCAGCAGCAGCAGCAGCAGCAGCAGCAGCAGCAGCAGCAACUGGAUUUGCUUUUUCACCAGAGGAUCCAGAUUUCCCUGUGGCCUCGCAAACAAAAAAGAAGGAAGACGGAGCAGCACAGUCAUUCCUUUGUGAAAAAGGCAUUCAGGUAACUGAGUGACUCAGCAAGCCUGGGUCUUGGGGAAAUUACGAAUACCUGGUUGAAGGACAGUCCUCAGGCAGAGCCCCUGAGACCUGUUGAACUCUAGAGUGUGGGAGCAGAGGAGAUUCAGGGCCUGCCCAGGGGCAGAGUGCCCCCAGGACUCGCCCUGGCUCAGUUAAGGACUCCCCUCAGGAUCUGCAGAGGUGCAAGGCAGGGUGCAGCUCUGCCUGGACUGAGCUGGAAAUGCAGCCGUGUGGCUGAAGUGGCCACUUCCUGCUUUCUGUAAAGCAGCCACAGGGACCUGUGAACAGAGACGGGGUUUCACCGUGUUAGCCAGGAUGGUCUCGAUCUCCUGACCUCGCGAUCCGCCCGCCUCGGCCUCCCAAAGUGCUGGGAUUACAGGCGUGAGCCACCGCGCCCGGCUUCAGCUGGUUUUUCAAAAGUCAUGGCGUGUAACUGUCCGAACAGUGAACUUCGGAGAUCCACCGGAGGGGCGAGGCCACAGCUCGACCGCGAGCACCUGAGCAUCCUGCACCGCCUGCGACGGCCGUCAGGGGGCGCGAUGCCGCCUCACAGAACCUCAAGAGGCGCCCGGGUUCCGGCACAGACGGCCUGCGGCUCCAGGGGGCGGAACCGAGCCGUCUCCUCAGGACCUACGCAGGAGGCGCCGUCAUCCCUACAGGGACACCUGAGAGGGCCCAGCCUCCUCCUCCUCAGGACCUACUCGGGAGACGCCGCUGGCUCUCUAGGAACACCUGGGGACCGUGGCCAGGGACGACCCAGCCUCCUUCUCCUCAGCUCCUCAGGAACGACUGGGGAAGCUGUGGCUUCAUGGUCCCCGAGGCUGCCCGAGGAAAGACAGAGUCUCAACCAGGCUGGAGUGCAGUGGCGUGAUCUCGGCUCACUGCAACCUCCGCCUCCCAGGUUCAAGCGAUUCUCCUGCCUCAGCCUCCUGAGUAGCUGGUAUUACAGGUAUUUCAGGACAGCCAGGAGGGGGCGCACAUCCGCCGCGAAACUGUGAGCAAGAGCGUCUGUGCUGAACCAUGGCGCCACCAGAGGGCGCGCGAUCCCGCCCCAACCAACUUCCCGCUGAAGUGCCAGAAGCAGCGAGGAGCUUCAACUUCCUCAGGGCAGCACGGGGGUCGUGUUAAUUUGGUGUUCUUCAUUGAUGAUGAUUAUUCCCCACCUUCUAAGAGACAAAGACCAACGAGCCACCACAGCCACCAGUCCCAGAACCUGCCAAUGCUGGGGAACGGAAAAUGAGGGAGUUCAACUCUGAGAAAUGGAAUCAUCGUAUCGCUGAUCUACGUAAACAAACUGAAGAAUUGUCUGAAAGAAAAUAUGACAUGAACUUAUGAAUUCAACAGGUGAAGAUUUACAACUUGAUAAAUCAACUUUGUCAGCUCGAGCUGUAAAAGCCAAAGGUCCGGUGAUGAUCCCAUACCCUUUUUUCCAGUCUCAUGUUGAAGAUUUUUAUGUAGAAGGCCUUCCCAAAGGAAUUUUUUUUUUUUUUUUUUUUUUUUGAGAUGGAGUUUUCACUCUUAUCGCCCAGGCUGGGGUGCAAUGGCGCAACCUUGCUGGUCACUGCAACCUCUGCCUCCUGGGUUCAAGAAAUUCUCCUGCCUUAGCCUCCCAAGUCACUGGGAUUACAGGUGCCCACCACCAUACCAGGCUAAUUUUUGUAUUUUUAGUGGAGAUGCGGUUUCACCAUGUUGGCCGGGCCAGUCUCG
RNAcentral lists this long non-coding RNA (1903 nucleotides) under Homo sapiens (human). RNAcentral describes it as "non-protein coding FAM157C:11". The record is from RNAcentral. Lineage: Eukaryota; Metazoa; Chordata; Mammalia; Primates; Hominidae.